RNAcentral lists this ribosomal RNA (505 nucleotides) under uncultured bacterium. RNAcentral describes it as "partial 16S ribosomal RNA". It matches the Rfam family "Bacterial small subunit ribosomal RNA", at positions 28 to 507 of the family's 1533-position model. The record is from RNAcentral.
GACGAACGCUGGCGGCGUGCCUAAUACAUGCAAGUAGAACGCACAGUUUAUACCGUAGCUUGCUACACCAUAGACUGUGAGUUGCGAACGGGUGAGUAACGCGUAGGUAACCUGCCUGGUAGCGGGGGAUAACUAUUGGAAACGAUAGCUAAUACCGCAUAAUAUUAAUUAUUGCAUGAUAAUUAAUUGAAAGGUGAAAUUGCACCACUACCAGAUGGACCUGCGUUGUAUUAGCUAGUAGGUGAGGUAACGGCUCACCUAGGCGACGAUACAUAGCCGACCUGAGAGGGUGAUCGGCCACACUGGGACUGAGACACGGCCCAGACUCCUACGGGAGGCAGCAGUAGGGAAUCUUCGGCAAUGGACGAAAGUCUGACCGAGCAACGCCGCGUGAGUGAAGAAGGUUUUCGGAUCGUAAAGCUCUGUUGUAAGAGAAGAACGGGUGUGAGAGUGGAAAGUUCACACUGUGACGGUAUCUUACCAGAAAGGGACGGCUAACUACGUG